Molecule: ribosomal RNA, 901 nt
Filed under: Hermatomyces chromolaenae
Lineage: Eukaryota; Fungi; Ascomycota; Dothideomycetes; Pleosporales; Hermatomycetaceae
Description: eukaryotic LSU rRNA
Rfam family: Eukaryotic large subunit ribosomal RNA
Source: RNAcentral
AGAUAGCAUAUCAAUAAGCGGAGGAAAAGAAACCAACAGGGAUUGCCCUAGUAACGGCGAGUGAAGCGGCAAGAGCUCAAAUUUGAAAUCUGGCUCCUUUGGAGUCCGAGUUGUAAUUUGUAGAGGGUGCUUUGGUGUCGGCUAUGGCCUAAGUUCCUUGGAACAGGACGUCACAGAGGGUGAGAACCCCGUAUGUGGCUGCUAGCCUUCACCAUGUAAAGCCCCUUCGACGAGUCGAGUUGUUUGGGAAUGCAGCUCUAAAUGGGAGGUAAAUUUCUUCUAAAGCUAAAUAUUGGCCAGAGACCGAUAGCGCACAAGUAGAGUGAUCGAAAGAUGAAAAGCACUUUGGAAAGAGAGUCAAAAAGCACGUGAAAUUGUUGAAAGGGAAGCGCUUGCAGCCAGACUUGCUCGUAGUUGCUCAUCCGAGCUUUUGCUCGGUGCACUCUUCUGCGAGCAGGCCAGCAUCAGUCCGGGCGGUUGGAUAAAGGCUCUGGGAAUGUAGCUCUCUUCGGGGAGUGUUAUAGCCCAGGGUGUCAUGCAACCAGUCUGGACUGAGGUCCGCGCAUCUGCUAGGAUGCUGGCGUAAUGGCUGUAAGCGGCCCGUCUUGAAACACGGACCAAGGAGUCUAACAUCUAUGCGAGUGUUUGGGUGUCAAGCCCGGGCGCGCAAUGAAAGUGAACGGAGGUGGGAACCCUUCGGGGCGCACCAUCGACCGAUCCUGAUGUCUUCGGAUGGAUUUGAGUAAGAGCAUAGCUGUUGGGACCCGAAAGAUGGUGAACUAUGCCUGAAUAGGGUGAAGCCAGAGGAAACUCUGGUGGAGGCUCGCAGCGGUUCUGACGUGCAAAUCGAUCGUCAAAUUUGGGCAUAGGGGCGAAAGACUAAUCGAACUAUCUAUUCCCC